UUACAAUACACAUAUAAAUAUAAUUGACAUACACCAAUAUUCAGAAAUAAAACGUUUCGUUUUAAAAGAAAAAGAAAACAUAAACAUGGAGAAAUUUUGAGCAGUAAAAUUCAUCAAAAGAGGCAGAAAAAGAAGUUGAGAAGCAGUAGAAAGCUGUUCAGGGAAUAAUGGCUAUGAUGUGGGGCCGCAUCAAAAUGGGUAUUAUACCUGUGUCACAUACUCAGAAACACAUGUAAUAUGCUAAAAAGCUGAUAUUGUAGCCGUGUCCAUGGCUUUAUGUGUAUCACAGUUCAUCUGUCUUUACAGAAGAAAUUACUCCAGCCUCUGGAGUAUAAGCCUGCCUUAUGCGGCUCUUUUAUGAGUUCAAGUAUGGUCCCUAUAUAUGCGUUUAGCUAAUGCUAUUUAUAAUCCUCACUUGAGGUCAUUGUGGUGCUC
RNAcentral lists this long non-coding RNA (435 nucleotides) under Amborella trichopoda. Its description in RNAcentral is "long non-coding RNA (ATRI_LNC003879)". Lineage: Eukaryota; Viridiplantae; Streptophyta; Magnoliopsida; Amborellales; Amborellaceae. The record is from RNAcentral.